This 343-nucleotide ribosomal RNA is filed under the name uncultured bacterium. RNAcentral describes it as "bacterial SSU rRNA". It matches the Rfam family "Bacterial small subunit ribosomal RNA", at positions 32 to 367 of the family's 1533-position model. The record is from RNAcentral.
AAUCAACGCUGGCGGCGUGCCUCAGACAUGCAAGUCGAACGAUUAAAGCUCUCUUCGGAGAGUGUAUAGAGUGGCGCACGGGUGAGUAACACGUAAGUAAUCUACCCUCGAGUGGGGAAUAACAACCGGAAACGGUUGCUAAUACCGCAUAAUGCAGCGGCACCGCAAGGUGACAGUUGUUAAAGAUUUAUCGCUUGAGGAGGAGCUUGCGGCAGAUUAGCUAGUUGGUAGGGUAACGGCUUACCAAGGCUACGAUCUGUAACCGGUCUAAGAGGACGGUCGGUCACACUGACACUGAAUAACGGGCCAGACUCCUACGGGAGGCAGCAGUCGGGAAUUUUGG